GGGCUUAUAGCUCAGUUGGUCAGAGCGCACGCCUGAUAAGCGUGAGGUCGAUGGUUCGAAUCCAUCUAAGCCCA
This 74-nucleotide transfer RNA is filed under the name Caldanaerobacter subterraneus subsp. tengcongensis MB4. RNAcentral describes it as "Thermoanaerobacter tengcongensis MB4 tRNA". It matches the Rfam family "tRNA". From Rfam's summary of the family: Transfer RNA (tRNA) molecules are approximately 80 nucleotides in length. Their secondary structure includes four short double-helical elements and three loops (D, anti-codon, and T loops). The record is from Rfam by way of RNAcentral. Lineage: Bacteria; Bacillati; Bacillota; Clostridia; Thermoanaerobacterales; Thermoanaerobacteraceae. RNAcentral also lists the same sequence under 1 other name.